UACGAAGGGGGCUAGCGUUGCUCGGAAUCACUGGGCGUAAAGGGUGCGUAGGCGGGUCUUUAAGUCAGGGGGGAAAUCCUGGAGCUCAACUCCAGAACUGCCUUUGAUACUGAGGAUCUUGAGUUCGGGAGAGGUGAGUGGAACUGCGAGUGUAGAGGUGAAAUUCGUAGAUAUUCGCAAGAACACCAGUGGCGAAGGCGGCUCACUGGCCCGAUACUGACGCUGAGGCACGAAAGCGUGGGGAGCGAACAGG
Molecule: ribosomal RNA, 253 nt
Filed under: uncultured bacterium
Lineage: Bacteria
Description: partial 16S ribosomal RNA
Rfam family: Bacterial small subunit ribosomal RNA
Source: RNAcentral